UAGUGCAUGGUAACGUGCAUGUGAGUCAAAAGCUCUCCUCUUGGCCUUUUUAUGCAUGCCCUUGAAGAAGGGCCGGCCAUGCAAUUGCAAUGCAUGUGUGCCCGCCUACUCCCUCCAUCUCUCUCUCAUCUUGGUACACCUUUGGGGCAUGCAUUGAUCUCUCUCUCACCUGCACCCCCCUUCUGGUCGACACCCUUAGCUCUUCUACAGUACCCAUCUUGUUUGAUAGUGUUUGGAGAUGAAGAAAGAGAUAAGUGUAUGCGUGAAAGAAAAUAUUUCACUAGAUUCUUGGACCAAGCCUCGCUGCAACGUCUCCAUCCCCUCUCUCCAGUAAAGGAGAUGAGCUGCUGCACCUCUCCCACCCCGUCCAGCUAGUCUAGAAACCCCUAGUAACUAGCCCUGCCUCCCUCCCUCUCUCAUUUUGCCAUAGAGGCCAAUGACAUGUCCCAAUUUUUAAGACGAGAUUUUCUGACCGAGCCACUGCGCCAUCAACGCCUAUUUUUCGAACAUGAUCGAACCCUGACCCUCUCCUUGCUUUUGUCUGGUUCCUUGCGGUGGGUUUCGGCGUGCUCUGAGAUGCCGACGCUGCGUCGAGCACGUGGUGUGCGUUCGCUCGUCGUCCUCUUUCCCAGCAGACCGGUCCUCCUUCGACCUGUCCCUUCGCCACUGACCCCGUGCACCAUGCAUUGCCUCGCUGGCGCGCUCCUCAUCUCUCUCGUGCCCAUUUAUUCUCGUCCCCUGCGCAGCCACUCAUCCCGGUCAGUGCACGUCGAGCACGGCCGCACGCCGUCCCGCGACCACUCCCUGCGUUUCCUUUUCCAAACGCCCUCGGACAGCCACCCCAAUCCAAAACGCUGUACAGCGUGAGCAGACGCUCCUCCACCGCCUCUCCUGGCCAGUGGCAGGCCGUGGACGACGCCAACCCCGCCCUGGCCGCGGCUCACCGUGCACCAUCUCCUGCCCCCCAUAAAACCGACCCGAGCAGCUUCUAUGAUCCCCAAAACCUGUCCACACUUACUCACUCCCCUCUCACCUCUCCGCACCUCCCAAAAGCAAGCCGAGGCGGAUCCCUGCCAUGUUUCUUCUUCCUCUCGAGCCAAUGGAGGACACCAAGAUGGAGCUCGCCUCGCGGUUCUGCAACUCGUCGUUGACGAGGGAGGUGAUGCGCCUGUUGUUUCCGGUAACCUCCGGCGGUUCACGGCAACGGCAGCCUCGCCCGCGCCGUCCCCGUCGAGCGCCGCGAGCAGCCACAGAUCUCCCCGCCGUCCGUCGUGUUCCCUUCGUCGAGACCAGGCUCCCGAUGGUCGCCGUUGUUGAGCUCCGUCCCGGCUGCUGCUGUUCCCGACGCGGAACGCGUCCUCGUUCGCGCCGACGCCCAGGAACCCUGCCAACUCGUCCAGGUCGCCGUCGCCAUCAAGCUCCGCCCGUAGCCCGUGAACCUGGCCAUGACCGGCGCCGCCCUCGGUUUCGUCCGGCGGUCGGGAUCUCACCUGCGCGCAAGAUGAGGCCGAGCGGACCCUCCUCGUCCUCCCGGCACCGCCCUACGCGUCGCCGUGUCACCUUCGAGCCGCCGCCCGUGAGCCUCAUGUGCGUCCAAGCCGCGGCGUCCGCGCGACCUCCGCCCGCCGCCGCUUCUCUCUUGUUUUCCUCGUAUCCGACAGCCCACGGUGAGCUCCCUUCCUCCGUCGUACACACAUCGCGGCCGCGCCGCCCGGUUUCGAUCGUCGCAGAAGAAAACGCCAGGGCCGCAGAUCGACGAUCCGAUGGUUGCAUGUGGCCUAGCCCAUGCAUGGCGUGGUGUUCCCGCAAUCUCACGCCCGUGGGGACGUACUUCUGGGCCGGCCCGUGGCCGAAUCCGGCAGAUCUGGCCGUUUGGUCCAGCCCCUUUUAAAUUCCUUUUGUUUCGAAAUAUAACUGCAGGACCUUCUCUAGCUUUUAAUCCAUUAAAAACUCAUAAUAGAUCCAAAUGAGAUGAUUCAAAUUCCUACCUGUUCCUAAGAAAAUUCUUAAUCACCUAUACUUACAUGCA
Long non-coding RNA from Lolium perenne, 2029 nucleotides. RefSeq lists it as uncharacterized. Lineage: Eukaryota; Viridiplantae; Streptophyta; Magnoliopsida; Poales; Poaceae. The record is from RefSeq and is a predicted model, not a curated record.